This 688-nucleotide ribosomal RNA is filed under the name Pseudomonas sp. GA14-2. RNAcentral's name for it is "bacterial SSU rRNA". It matches the Rfam family "Bacterial small subunit ribosomal RNA", at positions 97 to 781 of the family's 1533-position model. The record is from RNAcentral. Lineage: Bacteria; Pseudomonadati; Pseudomonadota; Gammaproteobacteria; Pseudomonadales; Pseudomonadaceae.
GGCGGACGGGUGAGUAAUGCCUAGGAAUCUGCCUGGUAGUGGGGGACAACGUUUCGAAAGGAACGCUAAUACCGCAUACGUCCUACGGGAGAAAGCAGGGGACCUUCGGGCCUUGCGCUAUCAGAUGAGCCUAGGUCGGAUUAGCUAGUUGGUGAGGUAAUGGCUCACCAAGGCGACGAUCCGUAACUGGUCUGAGAGGAUGAUCAGUCACACUGGAACUGAGACACGGUCCAGACUCCUACGGGAGGCAGCAGUGGGGAAUAUUGGACAAUGGGCGAAAGCCUGAUCCAGCCAUGCCGCGUGUGUGAAGAAGGUCUUCGGAUUGUAAAGCACUUUAAGUUGGGAGGAAGGGUUGUAGAUUAAUACUCUGCAAUUUUGACGUUACCGACAGAAUAAGCACCGGCUAACUCUGUGCCAGCAGCCGCGGUAAUACAGAGGGUGCAAGCGUUAAUCGGAAUUACUGGGCGUAAAGCGCGCGUAGGUGGUUUGUUAAGUUGGAUGUGAAAUCCCCGGGCUCAACCUGGGAACUGCAUCCAAAACUGGCAAGCUAGAGUAUGGUAGAGGGUGGUGGAAUUUCCUGUGUAGCGGUGAAAUGCGUAGAUAUAGGAAGGAACACCAGUGGCGAAGGCGACCACCUGGACUGAUACUGACACUGAGGUGCGAAAGCGUGGGGAGCAAACAGGAUUAG